GAUGAACGCUGGCGGCGUGCUUAACACAUGCAAGUCGAACGAUGAAGCCCAGCUUGCUGGGUGGAUUAGUGGCGAACGGGUGAGUAACACGUGAGUAACCUGCCCUUGACUCUGGGAUAAGCCCGGGAAACUGGGUCUAAUACCGGAUAGGAGCGCCUGUCGCAUGACGGGUGCUGGAAAGAUUUUUCGGUCAUGGAUGGACUCGCGGCCUAUCAGCUUGUUGGUGAGGUAAUGGCUCACCAAGGCGACGACGGGUAGCCGGCCUGAGAGGGUGGCCGGCCACACUGGGACUGAGACACGGCCCAGACUCCUACGGGAGGCAGCAGUGGGGAAUAUUGCACAAUGGGCGGAAGCCUGAUGCAGCGACGCCGCGUGAGGGAUGACGGCCUUCGGGUUGUAAACCUCUUUCAGUAGGGAAGAAGCGGAAGUGACGGUACCUGCAGAAGAAGCACCGGCUAACUACGUG
Molecule: ribosomal RNA, 466 nt
Filed under: uncultured bacterium
Lineage: Bacteria
Description: partial 16S ribosomal RNA
Rfam family: Bacterial small subunit ribosomal RNA
Source: RNAcentral